AGCCAAUUGCACGUUAUUCUGAUUGCAAUCAUUUCCAUUGAAGUGUGACUUAUGGUUGUUGCUUCGUGACCAUCGGUAUUACCUGUGGGUACUAGUGUACUUCUUGCUGUCCACUGAAUCAUGUUUAUUCUUGUGUAUGUGAGUCAUUUUUAUUUUUUCCCUUAUUCUUCAGGCUAUUUAUAUUUUGUAUCAUUAAUCAAAUGAAAACAAUAUGAUGCUAUUUUAGGAAUAACUCAUAGGAAGCCCAGAGUAUCUAGUAUUAAAAUUUUGAUUGAAUUUGGACAAUAUGAUGAUGAUAAAUGCUUAAUUUUCUGACCAGGUGUUGUUAACAGGAAAAAAUAGCUAAGGCAUAUUGACUCUUAAAGCUUAAUGAUUGUUGGGAAAAAUAGGGACUCUGAAAUAAAUGCUGCUCACUGAAUUCUUUUCUUCAAUUAUUGUGUCAAUCAAAAUUCUAUCAUAUUUUGCUAAGAUGUUCUUAAUGAUAUCACUGAUAAAUAGCAGUGAGCUAGGCCUACACUUUGGGGUUUACUGAAAUCUUUGAAAUUGGGUCCUCGUACUCCAAGUGGCAAUACUUCUUUGUUUUCCAUCACAAUAACUUUACUGGUAUUGUGAUCUGGAUGUCAGCUAAAUCUGGAAACCAACCAUAAAAACAACAAAAUAAUCACUAGAACUCACUUCCUCUUUUGUUUCUUCACCAGUUUCAUUAUGCAUCUGAUUCAAAAGACUGCUACAGAAAACAGCUGCCUGUUGUGAAAAAGAACCUGUGGAUCUCUGAAAAUAUCAUUGAGAUCAGAAAAAGGCAAAUUAAAAUAGAAGAGGGAGAAUUUGGUGGGCAAGUUAGUGUUAGAAACAUGGUAAAAAGCAAGACAGUUGGAGAGAUAAAAAGAACAACAGAAAUGUAGGGCAC
This 907-nucleotide long non-coding RNA is filed under the name Marmota monax (woodchuck). Lineage: Eukaryota; Metazoa; Chordata; Mammalia; Rodentia; Sciuridae. The record is from RNAcentral.